RNAcentral lists this ribosomal RNA (397 nucleotides) under uncultured bacterium. RNAcentral describes it as "partial 16S ribosomal RNA". It matches the Rfam family "Bacterial small subunit ribosomal RNA", at positions 523 to 918 of the family's 1533-position model. The record is from RNAcentral.
AUACGUAGGUGGCGAGCGUUGUCCGGAAUUACUGGGCGUAAAGGAUGCGUAGGUGGAUAUUUAAGUGGGAUGUGAAAUCCCCGGGCUCAACCCGGGAACUGCAUUCCAAACUGGGUAUCUAGAGUGCAGGAGAGGAAAGCGGAAUUCCUAGUGUAGCGGUGAAAUGCGUAGAUAUUAGGAGGAACACCAGUGGCGAAGGCGGCUUUCUGUACUUUAACGGACACUGAGGCAUGAAGGCGUGGGUAGCAAACAGGAUGAGUUACCCGUGUGGUCCACGCCGUAAACGAUGGGUACUAGGUGUAGGAGGUAUCGACCCCUUCUGUGCCGUCGUUAACACAAUAAGUACCCCGCCUGGGGAGUACGGUCGCAAGACUAAAACUCAAAGGAAUUGACGGGG